Molecule: ribosomal RNA, 506 nt
Filed under: uncultured bacterium
Lineage: Bacteria
Description: partial 16S ribosomal RNA
Rfam family: Bacterial small subunit ribosomal RNA
Source: RNAcentral
AUUGAACGCUGGCGGCAGGCCUAACACAUGCAAGUCGAACGGUAGCACAGAGGAGCUUGCUCCUUGGGUGACGAGUGUCGGACGGGUGAGUAAUGUCUGGGAAACUGCCCGAUGGAGGCGGAUAACUACUGGAAACGGUAGCUAAUACCGCAUAACGUCGCAAGACCAAAGAGGGGGACCUUCGGGCCUCUUGCCAUCGGAUGUGCCCAGAUGGGAUUAGCUAGUAGGUGGGGUAACGGCUCACCUAGGCGACGAUCCCUAACUGGUCUGAGGUGAUGAGCAGGCACGCAGGAACUGAGACACGGUCCAGACUCCUGCGGGAGGCAGCAGUGGGGAAUAUUGAAGAAUGGGCGCAAGCCUGAUGCAGCCAUGCCGCGUGUAUGAAGAAGGCAUUCGGGUUGUAAAGUACUGUCAGCGAGGAGGAAGGCGUUGUGGUUAAUAACCGCAGCGAUUGACGUUACUCGCAGAAGAAGCACCGGCUAACUCCGUGCCAGCCGCCGCCGCAG